ACUAACUGACGAGUCCCAAACAGGACGAAACGCGCGUCCUCGAU
RNAcentral lists this non-coding RNA (44 nucleotides) under Schistosoma mansoni. Lineage: Eukaryota; Metazoa; Platyhelminthes; Trematoda; Strigeidida; Schistosomatidae. The record is from RNAcentral.